UUACAGGUGAGACUCAUCUUAGACCCAGUCAACCUGAGCUGAGAAAGACAAAGAAUAGGGAAUAGCGGAAGAAAUUUACAUGGCUAAAGAGGACCAACGAUGAAAUUACUUUUAAAAGAACAGAGAAUGCUGGGAGCAGUGGCUCACACCUGUAAUCCCAGCACUUUGGGAGGCCAAGGCGGACGGAUCACGAGGUCAAGAGGUUCCUAAUAAUGCUGGACAACUUCCAGUUUGGAAAUGACCAACUCCCCGGGUGUUGUCUAAUCACAUUGUCCAAAUGCUACGACAACAACUUCUUGAGAAACAUCCACAAACUCAGGUGAUCUUACGCCUGAGUGAAGAAUAUAAUUGUUACUCUAAAAUGUAUUUGGCGUAUUGAAAUUAUAUGGUACUGCAAAAUAAAGCAUUCUCAGAAUGAUA
This 420-nucleotide long non-coding RNA is filed under the name Homo sapiens (human). RNAcentral's name for it is "HSALNT0267428". The record is from RNAcentral. Lineage: Eukaryota; Metazoa; Chordata; Mammalia; Primates; Hominidae.